AAAGAGAUUCUCACCUUUUUGUUGUGAGCAAUCAUCCAAAAUGGAGUGAAGAAUGUCUUUCAAAUGAAUUAUUUUCUCUUGCAUUCCUACUAGGUAUAAUCUGUUGACUCUAUUCCUUGUCAACUGUGAAGUGCUGUAACUGAACCACCUUCAGCUCCAUGUUUUCUGCAGAAAUCUGAUCACAUCUGGAUAAGGGUAAUUUAACAGGACCACCUGCUGCCCAAGGACAUCUGUUAAGCUAUAGAGUUGAACUAACUUCCAUCAUGCAAAAGAGAGAUUGGACUGCUCACUUUCCUCCAGUGACUGGAAAAUGGUUACCAAGUGGGGGGGAAUUGGCAUAUGUGAUCUGUUUCUACUGUGCUGCUUGACUAGGUACUGAUAAUUCAGCAAUCUGACAGGCUAUGGCUUGGGAGAACAGCACAGUCAUCUUAGAUUAUCUCUUUAGCCUAAAACACAACAAGAGAAAUAUAAGAAAUUGUGACUGAAGUGAAAAUAAAAUAAAAUAAGUAAAAGCAUAAAUGAUAUCAUGCUCCUAAAAUGAAAGGCUCUCAUAUUUUCAUUGUAUUUAAUUUGUGAAGCAUGAGAUGAGGAAUCUGGAACUGCCAAGUCAGUUCAGGAAAUAAGUGGGAAAAUGAAUUGAAAAUUUCAGAAACUUUUUUCCUAGUAGUAUAAAAUGAUAUUUAAAAAAAAUAUCAACAACUAAAAUCUCAUUUUAUGUAAUGUGUUGCCAUUGCUGGGAUUGGAACUGAGAUCAGAAUGAUUUUGAUUCAUUGUUUUCAGAAUGCUGGGGAGCCCCAUAAGAACACUGUGGAGGAUAAUGCAAAAGCUACAGCCGUGUUACCCUAGCUGGCAAAUGAAACUUUGAAAUGACAAACUGUUCUUCAUAACACAAGGGUCAUUCAUUUGUAUUGAGUGAUCAUUGCAGAGGCAGGAGACAGCUGGUGGCAAUGGGAAAUAAUCAGCCAAUUCCUUCAACAACUGGCUACUGUGCAUUUAAUUUGGCAUGCAUAUAUAUACAUGUAAGUAUACAUUGCAGUAUCUUAAAAUGUAUGUAUGUCUCUUUGUGUCUGUGCUUAUUACUGUCAUCUUGUGAAAUUAGUCCUUUCAUGAAAUAAUUACAGGUUUCAGGUAUUUUUGCCAACUGACUGGCAUUACAGGUGUUCUGGAUGAUAUGCCUGGUUCACUCGGUUGUAUAAACUGACAGAAGGUGAAUCCUGGCAUUAUCCAUGUGCUUUCACACUGUGAUUAUGUGGGAAAUAAUGUCUCUAGCCACUUCUUACUAUUCAGGGAAUUAAUAAACAACAGCAGUGAUACAAACCAGAAGACCAGUCAUACAUUUUUCAGUCCUUCAGAAUUUCUCUAGCCAUGGGACAACAUGCCCUUUCGCUGACUCUCCUUCUGGGAACUUCCUUACACUCAAAAUUUCUCUGAGUAGGUUGUUUCCUUUUAACAUCUGUAUUCCUUGCUGGUAUUUCUUUCAAGAUGCUCAUUGGAGUGUGAAGGAGACAGCGUUGUUCUUUGGGUGGGAGUCUCUUCUGUUUGGCUUUGACACAGCACCUAAAUCAUGCUUAUAUCCAAAGGUACUUAAGAAGAUGAGUUGUUUCAUCGUCAGAUUGAAAUAAUCAGGAUACAUUAGGAUUCAAAAAUUCCAGAGAGGGCUUGCACAGAAGUGAUCCAGGACUCCUGCUGUUCUGGUAUUGGCUGUGAUGGAGAAGAGUGGUAGAAAUUGCUCCAAAGGUUUGGGAGAGGGUAGUAAGAUCUGGAGAAAACCAACUCACUCUCUCCAAUCUAGGCAUGCUGCAGGGUCUCAAGGCUCAACUGAAAUCUAAGGCUAGUCCUAUGACUUCACCUCUUGUCCAAGCAUAAUCAAUUGAAAAUAAAUAAAUAAAUAAAUCAGAAAUCUACUGCAAUGCCACUACUGUUGUUUCUGUUUCUCCCCUGGACCUUCCUUGGUCUCCAUCUAAUGAUGCUCAUUGAUGGAGUUCACCACACCAUCUGUUGCUUUCAUGGAUUAUUUGUUCAUGUGCUUCUGAUAUGGAGCCUUUCCCUGGCAGGGAGGUGUGGAUCAUUAAGUCCUAGCACUUGCAAGGGUUGUGUUGUCUGAUUAUUACCAGACCAGGGUAUUCCUGCAUGAAUUGAGGCAAACUUCUGUAGCACCAGUGAAGGUGUACACUGCCUGCAAUGAGCUACACAAAUGAUGGCACUAGAACGAGGUCACCCUGGUUGCAGGGUGUCUACUGUGAGUGGCACUUGUCUGAUGCAUAUGGGCAGGAUUCAUAUUUCUUCCCGUGGCUAUAGGGAUUGGAGAAGCUCCUUGGAGAAGCUCAUUUGAUAGAAAAGGAUAAGCAAACUAAAAAGGUGAAUGCUGAAUCAUGAGUACAUGGAUUGAGAAGAAUUUGUAUGAUAGGAAGAAUUUACUUUCUCUUUGACACUGGCUAGCCAUUCACAUGUUCAC
Non-coding RNA from Anas platyrhynchos (mallard), 2455 nucleotides. NCBI's taxonomy places the organism in Eukaryota, Metazoa, Chordata, Aves, Anseriformes, Anatidae. The record is from RefSeq and is a predicted model, not a curated record.